RNAcentral lists this ribosomal RNA (460 nucleotides) under uncultured bacterium. Its description in RNAcentral is "partial 16S ribosomal RNA". It matches the Rfam family "Bacterial small subunit ribosomal RNA", at positions 338 to 795 of the family's 1533-position model. The record is from RNAcentral.
CCUACGGGAGGCAGCAGUGAGGAAUAUUGGUCAAUGGACGCGAGUCUGAACCAGCCAAGUAGCGUGCAGGAUGACUGCCCUAUGGGUUGUAAACUUCUUUUAUAUGGGAAUAAAACAGGGUAUGCAUACCCUCUUGUAUGUACCAUAUGAAUAAGGAUCGGCUAACUCCGUGCCAGCAGCCGCGGUAAUACGGAGGAUCCGAGCGUUAUCCGGAUUUAUUGGGUUUAAAGGGAGCGUAGGUGGAUUGUUAAGUCAGUUGUGAAAGUUUGCGGCUCAACCGUAAAAUUGCAGUUGAAACUGGCAGUCUUGAGUACAGUAGAGGUGGGCGGAAUUCGUGGUGUAGCGGUGAAAUGCUUAGAUAUCACGAAGAACUCCGAUUGCGAAGGCAGCUCACUGGACUGCAACUGACACUGAUGCUCGAAAGUGUGGGUAGCAAACAGGAUUAGAUACCCGAGUAGUC